UAAGGAAUAUUGGUCAAUGGACGCAAGUCUGAACCAGCCAUGCCGCGUGAAGGAAGACGGCCCUACGGGUUGUAAACUUCUUUUGUACGGGAAAAAACCACCGGUCGUGAAUCGGUGCUGAUGGUACCGUAAGAAUAAGCAUCGGCUAACUCCGUGCCAGCAGCCGCGGUAAUACGGAGGAUGCAAGCGUUAUCCGGAUUCAUUGGGUUUAAAGGGAGCGCAGGCGGAAUGAUAAGUCAGUGGUGAAAUCCUACGGCUCAACUGUAGAACUGCCAUUGAUACUGUUGUUCUUGAGUACACUUGGAGUGGGCGGAAUGUGUCAUGUAGCGGUGAAAUGCUAGAUAUGACACAGAACACCGAUCGCGAAGGCAGCUCACUAAGUUGUAAACUGACGCUCAG
RNAcentral lists this ribosomal RNA (399 nucleotides) under uncultured bacterium. RNAcentral's name for it is "bacterial SSU rRNA". It matches the Rfam family "Bacterial small subunit ribosomal RNA", at positions 355 to 750 of the family's 1533-position model. The record is from RNAcentral.